UGCAUAUGUGUCCUGCCUCUCUGCUCCCAGCCGUUAAGAGGCCAGUGUUGAUCAGUGGCUGUCCAGGCCUUUCAGAGCCACUGACACGCCGGCAGCACAAUGAUGAUGUCACUGAUUCUACUGCUGGCCACCCUGGGGCUCCUUGUUCAGGAUUCAUCAGGAGAAAUCAUCCUGACUCAGUCUCCUGGAGCUCAGUCUGUUGUUCCAGGACAGACUGUCUCUCUCAGAUGUAAAGCCAGUUCACUUAUAGGUGAUGACAUUAACUGGUACCUUCAGAAAGCUGGAGAAGCUCCAAAACUCCUCAUUUAUGAUACUACAGCUCGUCAGCCUGGAGUUUCAGAUCGUUUCAGUGCAACAGCCCAACAGACUGACUUCACUUUGACCAUCAGAGGAGUCCAGACUGAAGAUACAGGAGUUUAUUACUGUCAGCAGCAUAACAGCUUCCCACUCACACAGUGAUACAACGUCGCACAAAAACCUCUCGCAGCUGGAGAGGAACUGAUCUGAAUCAACAGCUGCACAGAAAAUUAAACAUAAGACAUGACAAAAAUAUUUCUCAUAAUUAUGUGUAAAUUAAUAACAUUUCAAACAUGACAGUACUGGAUUUACGGACCAUGAUUUUGGGUGAAGAAUACAUUUAUAAACUUCUCUAACUUUUAGUCAACUGAUGUCAACUGUGUCAUUAGACAGUUCAUACAGAUGACAAUUCUUACUCUUUUUAAUAAAUUCAACACAAAACUCAGUGCAAAAGUAAAUCACUACAAAUGAAAUUGUACUAUAAAACUCAGAAACUAAAUGUUUAAUAAUGAAAUUUAAUCCACUUUGUAAAUAGUAACCCAUUAGAAAUCAUCUUCAUCUUUUUUUUUACAUUUGUGCUUGAGAUGUUACUAAA
Micropterus dolomieu (smallmouth bass) is the source of this 892-nucleotide non-coding RNA. Lineage: Eukaryota; Metazoa; Chordata; Actinopteri; Centrarchiformes; Centrarchidae. The record is from the annotation of a RefSeq genome assembly.